GGACAGACCGCCAUGAUCCAACAAACCUGCAGCUGCGUUGUCACGGGCUCGACUGGAUGUGAAUUUUUGGACCUCGUGGAUAUGACAAGGAAGGUUUUCUGAAGCAGAGUGGUGCAACCAAGAUGACUGGCUACGCCUGCUUCAGGUUUGUUGUGUCCCGCGUCUCAAGGUACCGAAGUUGUUUCCUCUUCAUCUUCUUGAUCUUUCUAGGAUCUUUUAUCUGUUGACAAAAUUAAAGAAGCAUUAAAUACAUUUUGGACUCGGAUAACAGCAAAACUAAUAAUACACAUACUCAGUGACACUACAGUCAGUCUUGGGUUCAUUUCAAUGAUAAGAACAAAUGGUUAUGAAUCUACAAAUUAAAUACAUUCCACUAAAAUUUUUUUGUACUAUCCUAUCUAAUUUGACCUUUCUAAUAACUAUAAUCAAAUAUUCUUCAUUCAAUAUCCCUCACAGUUACAAAAACCCUUACCUUAAUUAAGGCUUUAGUAAAUUUAGUUUUGUUUUGGUUAAUGAUGUUACUUAGCUAAUCUGAUCAGAUUUCCCAGUAUUUGUAGGGACCUUCAACUUGAAAGGUGCUACUGAACCAACAAUGCACUAACAACUUUUUAACGACCAUCUAUCUCAUCAUGUGACGUUCAUGAAGAACAGGAUGUCCUUGAAGAAAAUGAAAAGCUGCUUUGAUCCUCAGCAAUGGAAUGGUGAACUGAUGAAGACGGAUGAGACACGUGCAGGAUGGCAUGGAGCAAGCAAAUUCUUACAUCUGGCCAUCAAGUUUUGUCGUCAUGUCAAGACAUACGCCCAUCCUGCCUUCUCUCUCAGACCAACAAUGUUUAUACAGGGUGUAACUUGAGUUUUUGCAGAUAUAGACAGAGGCGAAAGUACAGAUUAAUCAAAGUUGGAAGCAUUCUAUGCACAUAGGUAAUUAAAGCAGAUUGAGGCUAGCAGGAAAUUGGCUGAGAGCUAGUCAGUUGCAUGAUUUCCCUUGAGACUGUAACAAUGAAUGAAUAUAUUAAAAUUAUAUUGCAUAAUUAAGAGUAAUGCAGAGUGUAUGGAAGUAUUUUUCCGUCAUGGUCACUGUCCCAGCUUGGCUGUUAUAUAUCCGGCCACUUGAACUUCAUACAAAAACUAAACACCUAAAAAUGCCUAUGUGCUUAGAAUGCUUGCCACUUGAAUAAUUUAAGUUUAAAAGCUUAAUUAUUAACCUUUACCUCUGGCAAUAUCCAUAAAAACUUGAAUUACACCUUGCAAUAUAAACUUACUGUAGGUCUGAGAAAGAGAGGGCAAGGAGAAGAAUUAAUGCAGAAGUAAACUGCAGAUGAUGUAGUUGUUAUGAGUGAAUUGGCAGAUGAGAUACAAAAAGUUUGCUGGAUGUUUUAGAUGGGUAUGAAAGAAAGAAUUAGGUUUAGCAGGGAGAAAACAAAAGUAAUUAAUAAUGUUAAUUCUAUAGAUGAAGACAAAUGUAUAAAGUGAGUGAGUGAGUGGUAUGGAAACAACUUGAGUCAAGCUAUUUUUUACUCAAUUCUCUAAUGUUUGUUUUAUUCUAUCAGAACAUGGUUUUCUAAGUGAAACGUUUAUUCAAGGAAUAAAGUACCUUGCCUGAACUUGUGUCCCUGCCACUUGCUUCACACAUGCAGAAUGUGAACAGAUCAGAGGAUUGAAAGUGAUGUGUAUGAAGAAUCGGAGAGAAUGAGUUCAAACAGGCACAAUAAGUACUAGUAAUGUGGAUGACUGGUGUGUGUGAUAAGGCAGAGAAUGAAAAGAUAACGAUGUACAUGUUCAUCAAGUCUUGAUGCCACAAUGCUGUCAUCAUUUCUUUUCGCAUCAAGUGGUUAAAGCUCGCAACUACCCUCCUUGGAAGGGAAGAUAUUCUGAUGUUGAAUCACCAAUUGUCAACCUUUUAUGCUCUAACAAGCACACUAUAGAGUGAGUGACCUCAGUCAGUUGUUCAGCUGAUAGAGAGAAUGGUUUGUUGUCUCGUGUGCCAGAGCUAUUUUGCUUUCUCCCAUACUACUUUAUAGUCAAUAUGCCUAUAAAGAAAUGAUGUUGGCUCAGAGGUGUCAGACUCUCUGAUUGUACUGUAAAAGUACAAGUACAAUCAGAGUCUUGACGCCUCUGAGCCAACAUCAUUUCUUUUUGCAUUAAAUGUAGAAUGCUGACAUCAGAAGGUUGAUGUUUUGGAACACUAAUUGGCAACCUUCUCCACUCCCAGGCAUAGAGGCAACAGUAUAAGUCACCUCAGUUUGCUGCUCAGCUGAUAUAGUGCAUGGCUGUCAUCUGGUGUGCUAGACAAAGACUAACUGUGCCUUACCUCCUCCUACACUAUCAACAGGCCCAAAGUGACUACAAGCAAGGAGAGACAUAAGAUGCUUAUAUUGUAUAAGGCUGGUCAUGACCUAUUUAUUCUCACUCAAACCUCAUAUUAGGUUAAGGACAACCAGUGAUUGUUGGGGCAUUUCAAGAAUGCUGGUGAAUUUACUGUACUCGCCCCACUUUCUAAGCCUGGUAGACCUCAUAAAACUACUUGACAACCCAUGCUCUUAUCUCCAGACAGGUUGCUAAAGAAUCAAGGCUGGUAGCAAAAAAAAAAAAAGGGGCUUACGAGGCCUGCCAGACUUGGAAAGUGUCUUCCUCACUCACCCAUUUGAAUGAAAGUUAAUAGAUGGUGGCCAGCCUUGUAUAAAGUAAGCAUCUCCUGUGUCUCUCCUUGCUUGUCAUUUUGGCCAUGUUAAUAGUAUGGGAGAAAGCAAAAUAGUUCUGGCACACAGACAACAAACCAUGCUCUCUCUGUAACUCACACUGUUGCCUGCUUGCUAGAGCAUAAAAGGUUGACAAUUAGUGACACAAAAGAAUCAGAAUAUCUUCCCGUCCAAGGAGGGUAGUUGCAAGCUUCAACCACUUGCAGCGAAAAGAAAUUAUGACAGUACAGUGGCAUAAAGACUUUAUGCACACACAUUGUGCACAUUGGUUCAUUGUUGUCUUUUCAUUCUCUGCUUUAUCACACACACACAUCAUCCACAUUGCUAGUACUUAUUGUGUCUGAGUCAACUUCUCUCCAAUUCUUCAUUCUAAAUUACUUUCACCCUCUGCAUGGCAGGGACUCAAGUUGAGACAAGAUGGUUUUGUAACUGGCCUUUAGGGAAUAAACUAUUUGAAUGAAACCAAGACAUUAUUAAUUAAGGAAUAAUAGAGAAAUGCAAAACAAUCUUAAUUAAAGACUGGAUUGGGUGCAAAGUAAUUUUAACAUAAAUGCACAGUACUAACUAGUAAAU
RNAcentral lists this long non-coding RNA (3272 nucleotides) under Portunus trituberculatus (swimming crab). RNAcentral's name for it is "uncharacterized LOC123506830". Lineage: Eukaryota; Metazoa; Arthropoda; Malacostraca; Decapoda; Portunidae. The record is from RNAcentral.